ACACACACACACACACACACACACACACACACACACACACACACACACACACACUGUAAACUUGACUCAGUAAGACAGUGCCAAGACUGUAUGCCCAACAUGGAGUUACCCUGUAUCCAAGUCCACUCUCCAUUUGAACGUGUCAGCAAAUCUUUCUGCAUGAAAAAAAAUUGUAUGUCUUUUCAGGAGGUCAAAGUGACAAGGUGGGUCACGCAGGCACACAGCAGGUGAGUAAAAGCCACACUGAAAGUAAACAUCCCCUCAUGGUACUCAGUGGUCAUGAGUUUCUCCAUUAAGGUUACCAGUGUGACUGCUGUCUUUUGGUUUUAGGGUCUGACUGGGAUUUUUACUGGAACUGGAGUAAAUCUCCUCGUCCGAACUGCUCUCGAUGUCACUGCGGUCGUCUUUUGCCACCUGUGCAAUGAAACAAAAUAGUGAGGAAAAUAAAAACAAGGCUAAAAGAGUGUAGAGCCAUGCUGGCAGCUCGUGAGCAUGUUAACAUGCCUGCAAUAACAAUGGUAACAUCCUGAUGCAGGUAAUGUUAACCAGUCACCAUUUUAGUGUAGCAUGUUUGCAUGAUAAUAUUUUCUAAUUAGCACUAAACAAGGUACAGCUGAGGCUGAUGGGAAUGUCAGUUUUACAGGUAUUUAAUUAUGAACCAAAUAUUGGACAAAAAUUAAAAUUGACCCGAUUAUAGUGCGAAAUGAAAGACAAUUUACCCUAAGGGGAACAUGAACGUC
Molecule: long non-coding RNA, 740 nt
Organism: Sander lucioperca (pikeperch)
Lineage: Eukaryota; Metazoa; Chordata; Actinopteri; Perciformes; Percidae
Exons: 2
Source: RefSeq, a predicted model, not a curated record